Molecule: ribosomal RNA, 883 nt
Filed under: uncultured bacterium
Lineage: Bacteria
Description: bacterial SSU rRNA
Rfam family: Bacterial small subunit ribosomal RNA
Source: RNAcentral
ACAUGCAAGUCGAGGGGCAGCAUGGUCUUAGCUUGCUAAGGCCGAUGGCGACCGGCGCACGGGUGAGUAACACGUAUCCAACCUGCCGUCUACUCUUGGACAGCCUUCUGAAAGGAAGAUUAAUACAAGAUGGCAUCAUGAGUCCGCAUGUUCACAUGAUUAAAGGUAUUCCGGUAGACGAUGGGGAUGCGUUCCAUUAGAUAGUAGGCGGGGUAACGGCCCACCUAGUCUUCGAUGGAUAGGGGUUCUGAGAGGAAGGUCCCCCACAUUGGAACUGAGACACGGUCCAAACUCCUACGGGAGGCAGCAGUGAGGAAUAUUGGUCAAUGGGCGAGAGCCUGAACCAGCCAAGUAGCGUGAAGGAUGACUGCCCUAUGGGUUGUAAACUUCUUUUAUAAAGGAAUAAAGUCGGGUAUGGAUACCCGUUUGCAUGUACUUUAUGAAUAAGGAUCGGCUAACUCCGUGCCAGCAGCCGCGGUAAUACGGAGGAUCCGAGCGUUAUCCGGAUUUAUUGGGUUUAAAGGGAGCGUAGAUGGAUGUUUAAGUCAGUUGUGAAAGUUUGCGGCUCAACCGUAAAAUUGCAGUUGAUACUGGAUAUCUUGAGUGCAGUUGAGGCAGGCGGAAUUCGUGGUGUAGCGGUGAAAUGCUUAGAUAUCACGAAGAACUCCGAUUGCGAAGGCAGCCUGCUAAGCUGCAACUGACAUUGAGGCUCGAAAGUGUGGGUAUCAAACAGGAUUAGAUACCCUGGUAGUCCACACGGUAAACGAUGAAUACUCGCUGUUUGCGAUAUACUGCAAGCGGCCAAGCGAAAGCGUUAAGUAUUCCACCUGGGGAGUACGCCGGCAACGGUGAAACUCAAAGGAAUUGACGGGGGCCCGCACAA